Molecule: RNA transcript, 3537 nt
Organism: Cercocebus atys (sooty mangabey)
Lineage: Eukaryota; Metazoa; Chordata; Mammalia; Primates; Cercopithecidae
Gene name: 60S ribosomal protein L35 pseudogene
Exons: 1
Source: RefSeq, a predicted model, not a curated record
AGUUUGAGACCAGCCUAGGCAACACAGUGAGAAAUCCUUCUCCACAAAAAGAAAAAAAAAAAAAUCAACAACACUCCUAUGUAUCAGUGACUGUCAGAAAAGGAUUUUUAAAAGAUAAAUUUAUAAUUACACAAAAAAAGUACCAAAUACUUAGAUAUAAAUCUAAUAGAAAUGUGAAAAACUUCUGCAAGACAAAAAGCUAUAAAAUAUUAAUUAAAAAUUAAAGUUCUAAAUAAAUAGAGCAGUAUACUAUGGUCUAGAAUGAAUUUUUUUAAUGUCUAUUUUUCUCAAAUUAAUUUAUAUAUUCAGCAAAGUUAAAAGCAAAAUCUCAACAGACAUUUUUGGUAACUAGACACAUUGAUUUUAUAAUUAAGACAUAAAUAUAAAUGUCCAGAGUAUCUCUCAAUAGAUUUUGAAAAAGAAGCAUAACAUAGGAGGACUUUGUAUAAAGCUACAGUAAUGAAGACAGUAUGAUACAGACUAAAUAUAUUCAAAUAUCAAAAGAACAAAGAGUCUAGAAACAAACCUACAAUAUGUAUGAACACUUGAAUUUAUGAAGUAGUUAGCAUAGAUAAUGGAAGAAAAUAAUGCUUUCAAUAAACUAAGUCAAUUAAGUAUCCAUAUAAAAGGAAAAAAAAACAAAGUUCUACCUCACAGUAUACACAGAAACCAAGUCCAGUUGGAUUACAUAUCUAAACGUGAAAGGCAAAACACAACUUUAAAAGGAUAUAGGAGAAUAUCCAAAUGACCCUGGAGUAUGAAACGAUUUCUUAAACAGAAAGCACUAACCGUUAAGAACAAAAACUGAUAAGGAGAUUGACUAAUUAAAAGGGACUUCCAUUUAUCAAAAGACAUCAUAAAGCCAGUGAAAAAGCAAAGAGCAGUGUGGAAGAGAGUGGCCACAGUUAUAACAGAAACAUAACCAGAUUAUUUAAAAUUCUUAUAUAUCAGUAAGACAUAUGGUUUGGUUUUGGUUCUGAUUUUGACUUGGCUUAAAUUGCUUGACGAACAGGUGAGCCUUUAACAACACUUUGGUUUUAGUUUUUAUUUUGAUUUAGUGUGAAUUAGAUGAGUGAGUGACCUUUUACCCUUUCAUUCUUGUAGUGUGAAUGUUGUUUUGUCUCAAGAGAAAAAUAGGUCAGACACAAAGUAAGCCCACUCCGCUAGGAACUGUGUUAAAAAAUUUCAAAAAGAAAAAAGGAAAGUCAUCAAAUUAUCAAAACUUACUUUAUUGAAGUGCAUGUUACAGAACCUUAAGAAAUGUUUUGCAGGAAAUUAUAGAGUUACGUUAAUCCCUUAGAGGUGAAGAUCUCUGUGUGAAUUAGAACUGCCCUCUUUUGGUGUAGGAUGGCCCACUGAAGGAACUAUAGACAAGGAACAACUGGCCAUGUAUUUAAGGUGGUGACAGAGGUCGGAGGACAGCCAGCGUACCUAGAUUAAAUUCCUUUAUAUUGAUUCAUGGUUAAAUAUAGACAAAACCAGCAUAAAUUUAGCCCUGUUUAACAGCUUAUUGCAAAAAAGCCAAAAGUAAAAGUAAGAGCAGCUUCGCCAGCAGACACAGAGUUUAAAAAGGGAGUCCCAGAAACAGCAAGAGAAGCCAGUUUUGCAGGAGCCGCCAGAGAUAAUAGAAAUUCUUUCUCCGUAUGUCCCAGCCUACCCCGCUUUACCGAGGCCAACACCCCCUCAGAAACGAGAUUCAGGAGCUAACACGCCCCAGGUCUCACCUCGAAGGGGAGGAUCAGAGCCUCCAGAGGCCAAGGAAGAAAGUCAACAUAGUCAAGUGCGCCGUCUCAGAUCUGGUCUUGCUGGAGCUAUGCAAAUGCCUCUUAGGGAGACGCGAGGACUAUAUACUGAUUCUCAGUAGCCUCAGGGUUAAAUGGGGUGUAAAGCCAGAAUGCUUUAUAGAGUCUCUUAUAAAACUGACUUAGGCUUUUGUCAGCUCCUUGAAGCAUUCCUGGAAUCUUUUUUUAUAUUACUUGCUUUUUUCUACCAACUCUUAGCCUCUGCAGAAGUGCUUCUCAGGCUGUGCAGCAAUGGCCAAGAUCAAAGCUGGAGAUCUUCGCAGGAAGGAGGAGGAGGAGUUGCUGAAACAGCUGGACGACCUGAAGGUGGAACUGUCCCAGCUACGCGUCGCCAAAGUUACAGGCGGUGCGGCCUCCAAGCUCUCUAAGAUAGGAGUCAUCCGCAAAUCCAUCCCCCGUGUUCUCACAGUUAUUAACCAGACUCAGAAAGAAAACCUCAGGAAAUUCUACAAGGGCAAGAAGUACAAGCCCCUGGACCUGCGGCCUAAGAAGACGCACGCCAUGCGCCACCGGCUCAACAAGCAUGAGGAGAACCUGAAGGCCAAGAAGCAGCAGCAGAAGGAGCGGCUGUACCCGCUGCGGCAGUACGCGGUCAAGGCCUGAGUGGCCCAUUGUCAAUAAAGCACAGCUGGCUGAGAAAAAAAAAAAAGUGCUUCUCGGUACCUCUGGAAACGCUGAAGCUGAGUUGCAUUCUCUGGGUGUUCUUUUCCCCUUUUUCCUAGAGUUUAACAGGCUCUUUUCUUUAUAUAAUUUUUCAUGCGUAGACUAGUCAGCUGCCGGUGUAACUAGAGCAGGGCUUGUUGUCUCCUCAAGCUUCAGCCGUGCGUAGACUGUUCAGCCUCCGGAGUGACCAGAACAGGGCUGUUGUCCUCACCCAAUAGAAAAAGUGAGGAAAAGACUUGAACAGGCUUUUCAUAAAAGAGGAUACUCACGUGGCCAAUAAGCACAUAAAACAGCUCUCUGAAACCAUAGAGGUGCUAGUACAAACCCACGAAAAUGACUGAAAUUAACAAGACUUACAAUACCAAGGUUAGUAAACAUAGAAGAAGAAUAAAAACUCACACAGUGAUGUCUGGGAGUAGCAAGUUAGUACAAUCACUUUGGGAAAACAAUUUGGCCCACCAGGUCCUACCUCCAACACUGGAGAUCACAAUGUGGAGGGCACAAACAUCUAAACCAUAUCAUUCUGCUGGUGCCACAAAUCUCAUGUCCUACUCACACUGCAAAAUACAAUCAUCCCUUCCCAAUAGUCUCCCAAAGUCUUAAGUCAUGUCAACAUCAACUCAAUCAAAAGUCCAAAGUCUCAUCCAAGACUCAAGUCAAAUUCCUUCCACCUAUGAGCCUGUAAAACCAAAACAAGUAACCUGAUACAUCAAAACAAGAUACAUUGGUGGUUCAGGUAUUAAUCGGCCAAAAGAAAGAGGCAACAGGCCACAAGCAAGUCCAAAACCCAGCAGGGCAGACGUUAAACCUUAAACUCCAAUAUAAUCCUUGACUUCAUGUCAGGCAACCUUGUGUGAGGGGUGGGCUCCCAAGGCCUUGGGCAGCUCCACCCCUGUGGCUUUGCAGGGUACAGCUCCCAUGGCUGCUCUCACACGUUGGACCUGAGUGCCAGACCUGACUGCCUGCAGUUUUUCUAGGCUCAGGGUACAAGUUAACAGUAGAUCUACCAUUCUGGGGUCUGGAGGGUGGUGGCCCACUUUCCAUAGUUCCACUAGGCAGUGCCCUAGAGGGA